Long non-coding RNA from Gambusia affinis (western mosquitofish), 572 nucleotides. RefSeq lists it as uncharacterized. NCBI's taxonomy places the organism in Eukaryota, Metazoa, Chordata, Actinopteri, Cyprinodontiformes, Poeciliidae. The transcript is spliced from 2 exons. The record is from RefSeq and is a predicted model, not a curated record.
UGUUCCGGGGCUCUCUGUCCUAUUGGUGGGGUUGCCUGCGCACCGUUCUACAUAUUACCACCAGUAGGCGACAGGUUUCGGAUGGAGUGCGGUGACGUCAUUAUUUUCCCCAGCUGUUCCCGAUCACCUUCAUCAGCGGAGCAGACAAAAGGAGUGGGCCGUCAGUCCAACGUCGCCUGAGUGUUGUGCCAGUCACGGUUGCCCGAGUUUCCAGAUUCGCCUCUCUGCUGUUUGCAAAUCUCCUCUGGACUCCACGGCUGGCGGCCGUUCCACUCCUCCGUGUCUCCGUUUCACCCGAGCCUACCUGUCCGCUCCCCGCCGCACUCCUCCGUUAUCCCUGGAUCCAUUAGGGACCGAGACCCCGGACAAACUCAGUUUCCCUCCACAACUCCGCUCCAACAACGACAAUGAACCGCUGCUGCCGUUACUGUUUAUUCCCCUGGACCAGACCACUCCGACUCACUCUCUUUGAUUAUUGUGUGAUCCUUAAUAAAUCAUUUUAAACUGAUUUCACUUCUCCUGUGGUUGUGUUCUGCAUUUGGGCUAAUAUUCAACCCAACAUGACAGAACAC